UACGAGGGAUGCAAGCGUUAUCCGGAAUUAUUGGGCGUAAAGCGUUUGUAGGCGGGCGAGUGUGUUUAAUGUUAAAUCUUAAAGCCCAACUUUGAAAUUGCGUUAAAAACUGCUUGUCUUGAGUAUGGUAGGGGUAAAGGGAAUUCCCAGUGUAGCGGUGAAAUGCGUAGAUAUUGGGAAGAACACUAAACAGCGAAGGCACUUUACUAGGCUAAUACUGACGCUGAGAAACGAAAGGUAAGGUAGCGAAACGGAUUAGAUACCCGUGUAGUCUUACCCGUAAACUAUGGACACUAAACGGUAAAUUUUUAAUUUACUGUUAAAGCUAACGCGUUAAGUGUCCCGCCUGGGGAGUAUGCUUGCAAAAGUGAAACUCAAAGGAAUUGACGGGGGCCCGCACAAGCGGUGGAGCAUGUGGUUUAAUUCGACGGUACACGAAGAACCUUACCAGGAUUUGACAUGCUAGAUAGUUGCUUGAAAGAGUAACGUGCCGUAAGGAAUCUAGACACAGGUGGUGCAUGGCUGUCGUCAGUUCGUGUUGUGAAAUGUUGGGUUAAGUCCCGCAACGAACGCAACCCUUGUCUUUAGUUAUUUUCUAAAGAGACUGCCUGUAAUAAACAGGAGGAAGGUAAGGAUGAGGUCAAGUCAUCAUGCCCCUUAUGUCCUGGGCUACACACGUGCUACAAUGGGAAAGACAAUGAGCUGCAAAUCUGUAAAUUUAAGCAAAUCUCUUAAACUUUCUCGUAGUUCGGAUUGUGGGCUGCAACUCGCCCACAUGAAGUUGGAAUCGCUAGUAAUCGCCAGUCAGCUAUAUGGCGGUGAAUCCGUUCCCGGGCCU
This 838-nucleotide ribosomal RNA is filed under the name uncultured bacterium. Its description in RNAcentral is "bacterial SSU rRNA". It matches the Rfam family "Bacterial small subunit ribosomal RNA", at positions 524 to 1381 of the family's 1533-position model. The record is from RNAcentral.